CUUUCUCUAUUUUUCCUUGCUAACCCCUUUUACUCAGAUUUUUCUUGCUAGCUUGUCUUCCUUUGUCUGUUUCUUAAACAUUGAUGUCUCUAUGGGCCUGAUUCAUCAUCAGCCCUCUUCUCUUUAUUACAGACACUCUUGCCAGUCAAUCCCAUUAGUUUCCAUGGUUCAACUUUCUACCCAUAGGUUGAUAACUCCCGAAUGUAUAUUUCCAUUCCAGUGGCUCUUCUGAGUAACAGGUUCAUACUUGCAACUCCUCUUGGACAGACUAGACUGUGAGCCAGGGUAUGCUCAUGCUUCUGAGGAACGCCACCAGGCUACAGUAGAAGCCCCAUGGUAGCCAUCAGAAAAUCAUUGGAAUCAUCGAGAAGUUAUACUACCUAUGGCUGAAAACAUCUAUUAUCUUAUGGGCUCCAGAAGCAAUAAUGAAACUUGAUCCAGGAAGGUCUUGGAAAAAGACUGAAAGAGUAUCAGGACUGCAGCCAAUUGGCAGAUACAGAAACAGAUCCAGAGAAGAUGGAAAGCUACCCAAGAAAAGCAUGUAGCCAGCCGGGGACUAGAGGCCUGCUUUCUUCACUGGAAGCUAGAAUUUCUCCCACUUUGCCAUCUUGCUUCCCCCAUUCUUUGGAAGAAUUCAUCAUCUGGCUUCACAGUUCUGAGAGGCUGAGUUCUAGGAUCAGCAGUCAGGAAAUUUAGAUUUGCAGCCAGGCUGGCAUAGUAUAAACUACAUGGGUUCUAGAGUAAAACCCCAGCUGCUACUUCUCAGCUGCAUCAGCUUUACUAAGUCACUUUCUCACUUUCUCACUUUUUAGUUUCAUUAUAUAUCAAACAUAGGCAUCAGAGAGUUACUAUAUUAUACCCAGCCUUGUAUACUCAGCAUAUCUUUUUGCUCCUUCCCUACAUUUGUUUCCCUCCAAGGGCUCCAUGUCUUUGUCAUGGCUUCGAAGGAAAGAAGGAAAGAAGGAAGGAAAGAAGGAAAGAAGGAAGGAAGGAAGGAAGGAAGGAAGGAAGGAAGGAAGGAAGGAAGGAAGGAAGGAAGGAAGGAAGGAAACUAGCUAAGUAUUAUGAAUACAUCAUUUUAAAGGUUGCCCUUGAGUGUAAAUCUAAGGAGAAUUACUUAUAAUAAUUAUUCAAUAAUUACUGCCCGUUGCAACUUUAGGCUGGCAGGGCUGAAAGAAAGCAUUUCAGCUUUCUGUUUUACUCAAGAUUAUAGUAUUAGUAACCCCGAGUCUAUUUACAAAAGGCAACUGGAAUGGCGCAAUUAUUCAGAUAAAAAACCAAGAUAAAGACUAAGUUAUUUUUCUAA
Canis lupus familiaris (dog) is the source of this 1306-nucleotide long non-coding RNA. RefSeq lists it as uncharacterized. The record is from RefSeq and is a predicted model, not a curated record. Lineage: Eukaryota; Metazoa; Chordata; Mammalia; Carnivora; Canidae. The transcript is spliced from 3 exons.